UGCAGUCGAACGGUGAAGCAGGAGCUUGCUCUUGUGGAUCAGUGGCGAACGGGUGAGUAACACGUGAGCAACCUGCCCCUGACUCUGGGAUAAGCGCUGGAAACGGCGUCUAAUACUGGAUAUGUGACGUGACCGCAUGGUCUGCGUUUGGAAAGAUUUUUCGGUUGGGGAUGGGCUCGCGGCCUAUCAGCUUGUUGGUGAGGUAAUGGCUCACCAAGGCGUCGACGGGUAGCCGGCCUGAGAGGGUGACCGGCCACACUGGGACUGAGACACGGCCCAGACUCCUACGGGAGGCAGCAGUGGGGAAUAUUGCACAAUGGGCGAAAGCCUGAUGCAGCAACGCCGCGUGAGGGAUGACGGCCUUCGGGUUGUAAACCUCUUUUAGCAGGGAAGAAGCGAAAGUGACGGUACCUGCAGAAAAAGCGCCGGCUAACUACGUGCCAGCAGCCGCGGUAAUACGUAGGGCGCAAGCGUUAUCCGGAAUUAUUGGGCGUAAAGAGCUCGUAGGCGGUUUGUCGCGUCUGCUGUGAAAUCCCGAGGCUCAACCUCGGGCCUGCAGUGGGUACGGGCAGACUAGAGUGCGGUAGGGGAGAUUGGAAUUCCUGGUGUAGCGGUGGAAUGCGCAGAUAUCAGGAGGAACACCGAUGGCGAAGGCAGAUCUCUGGGCCGUAACUGACGCUGAGGAGCGAAAGGGUGGGGAGCAAACAGGCUUAGAUACCCUGGUAGUCCACCCCGUAAACGUUGGGAACUAGUUGUGGGGUCCAUUCCACGGAUUCCGUGACGCAGCUAACGCAUUAAGUUCCCCGCCUGGGGAGUACGGCCGCAAGGCUAAAACUCAAAGGAAUUGACGGGGACCCGCACAAGCGGCGGAGCAUGCGGAUUAAUUCGAUGCAACGCGAAGAACCUUACCAAGGCUUGACAUAUACGAGA
This 930-nucleotide ribosomal RNA is filed under the name Microbacterium paraoxydans. RNAcentral describes it as "bacterial SSU rRNA". It matches the Rfam family "Bacterial small subunit ribosomal RNA", at positions 56 to 995 of the family's 1533-position model. Lineage: Bacteria; Bacillati; Actinomycetota; Actinomycetes; Micrococcales; Microbacteriaceae. The record is from RNAcentral.